AUUGAACGCUGGCGGCAUGCUUUACACAUGCAAGUCGAACGGCAGCGCGGGCUUCGGCCUGGCGGCGAGUGGCGAACGGGUGAGUAAUGCAUCGGAACGUGCCCAGUAGUGGGGGAUAGCCCGGCGAAAGCCGGAUUAAUACCGCAUACGACCUGAGGGUGAAAGCGGGGGACCGAAAGGCCUCGCGCUAUUGGAGCGGCCGAUGUCGGAUUAGCUAGUUGGUGGGGUAAAGGCUUACCAAGGCGACGAUCCGUAGCUGGUCUGAGAGGACGACCAGCCACACUGGGACUGAGACACGGCCCAGACUCCUGAGGGAGGCAGCAGUGGGGAAUGUUGGACAAUGGGGGCAACCCUGAUCCAGCCAUGCCGCGUGCGGGAAGAAGGCCUUCGGGUUGUAAACCGCUUUUGUUCGGGAAGAAAUCCUCUGGGCUAAUACCCCGGGGGGAUGACGGUACCGGAAGAAUAAGCACCGGCUAACUACGUG
RNAcentral lists this ribosomal RNA (484 nucleotides) under uncultured bacterium. Its description in RNAcentral is "partial 16S ribosomal RNA". It matches the Rfam family "Bacterial small subunit ribosomal RNA", at positions 28 to 507 of the family's 1533-position model. The record is from RNAcentral.